RNAcentral lists this ribosomal RNA (337 nucleotides) under Heteroctenus princeps. RNAcentral's name for it is "partial 12S ribosomal RNA". Lineage: Eukaryota; Metazoa; Arthropoda; Arachnida; Scorpiones; Buthidae. The record is from RNAcentral.
AAAGAAGUAAAAAAAUUAGGUAGUAAAGGUGGGCCUGAAACUUAAAAAAUUUGGCGGUGUUUUAAACUAAUUAGAGGAACCUGUUUUAUAAUCGACAUUACCCGUCAAAUCUUACUUAGGACAAUAACUUGUAUAUCGUUGUAAUAAUAAUGUUUAUGAUUAUUAUUAGUUAGAAUUUUAUUUUAGACAUCAGAUCAAGGUUCAGUUUAUAUCUAAGUAAAAAAUGGGUUACAAUGUGGGAAACACACUAUGGAUUUUGUUCUCAAAAAACAAAUGAAAGUGGAUUUAAAAGUAUUUUUAAAAUAGCAUGUUAAAUUGAAUUAGCUCUAGGACAUGC